AGGGCAGGAUGAGUGGUUACCCUGUCUUUUUAAAGCUUUGCUAACAGGUAAUAAGUGCUAUUUGAUAUAAACCAUAAGACUUUAGAAUAGACAGGGAGGAAAGUCCGAGCUCAAAAGGGCAAGGCGGUCGUUAAUUGCGACUGGGGUUAACCCAAGGAAAGUGCCACAGAAAGGGAAACCGUCCCAGCUUAAGUUGGGACAAGGGUGAAAAGGUGAGGUAAGAGCUCACCAGUUGAGAUGGCAACAUCUCAAGCUUGGUAAACCCCGCCUUGAGCAAGGUCGAAUAGGUUCCGUUUUGAGAAGUGCCCCUUCGAAUUCCCUGACUAAUUAAGGGGAAGACGGAACGGGUUAUGACCGCAUGAGUCUAAUGGAAACAUUAGACCUUAGAUGAAUGACCACUUUUAACAGAACUCGGCUUACAUCCUGCUCUGAAA
RNAcentral lists this RNase P RNA (434 nucleotides) under Nitrospirota bacterium. Its description in RNAcentral is "Nitrospirae bacterium (hot springs metagenome) RNase P RNA component class A". It matches the Rfam family "Bacterial RNase P class A". Rfam says of the family: Ribonuclease P (RNase P) is a ubiquitous endoribonuclease, found in archaea, bacteria and eukarya as well as chloroplasts and mitochondria. Its best characterised activity is the generation of mature 5'-ends of tRNAs by cleaving the 5'-leader elements of precursor-tRNAs. The record is from RNAcentral. Lineage: Bacteria; Pseudomonadati; Nitrospirota.